Molecule: ribosomal RNA, 114 nt
Filed under: Streptococcus salivarius
Lineage: Bacteria; Bacillati; Bacillota; Bacilli; Lactobacillales; Streptococcaceae
Also listed under: 17 other names
Source: RNAcentral
UCCGGUGGCGAUAGCAAAGUGGACACACCUGAACUCAUCCCGAACUCAGAAGUUAAGCACUUUCACGGCGACAAUAGUUGGGCUUGCCCCUGCGAAGAUAGCUAGCUGCCGGGU